AUGUGGCAAGCCAUGGAUCUCACGAUGCGCAAUCUGAUGUCUAACACCGAUGGAAGGAACGGGCCUCCGAGCAACGAUCACCAGUGCCCACUUGGGACCUACCCUAAUUGCCAAGGGAUGUCCCAGAACACUCAAGAAGCAGCUGAAGAUGUUGGAGGAAACUAG
RNAcentral lists this ribosomal RNA (165 nucleotides) under Triticum aestivum (bread wheat). Its description in RNAcentral is "partial small subunit ribosomal RNA". Lineage: Eukaryota; Viridiplantae; Streptophyta; Magnoliopsida; Poales; Poaceae. The record is from RNAcentral.